This 83-nucleotide transfer RNA is filed under the name Chlamydiia bacterium. Its description in RNAcentral is "tRNA-Leu". It matches the Rfam family "tRNA". From Rfam's summary of the family: Transfer RNA (tRNA) molecules are approximately 80 nucleotides in length. Their secondary structure includes four short double-helical elements and three loops (D, anti-codon, and T loops). The record is from RNAcentral. Lineage: Bacteria; Pseudomonadati; Chlamydiota; Chlamydiia.
GCUCGGGUGGCGAAAUGGUAGACGCUGGGGACUUAAAAUCCCUUCCCAGCAAUGGGGUGCGGGUUCGAGUCCCGCCCCGAGCA